This 446-nucleotide ribosomal RNA is filed under the name uncultured bacterium. RNAcentral's name for it is "partial 16S ribosomal RNA". It matches the Rfam family "Bacterial small subunit ribosomal RNA", at positions 338 to 795 of the family's 1533-position model. The record is from RNAcentral.
CCUACGGGAGGCAGCAGUAGGGAAUUUUCGGCAAUGGGGGGAACCCUGACCGAGCAACGCCGCGUGAACGAAGAAGUUAUUCGUAAUGUAAAGUUCUUUUAACCGGGAAGAAAAAGCAGUUUCACGGUACCUGAAGAAUAAGCUCCGACGAACUACGUGCCAGAAGCCGCGGUAAGAGGGAGGGAUCGAGCGGUAUCCGUGAUUAUUGGGCGUAAAGGGUGGGUUGAUGGCCUAGUAAGUCCUUGGGAAAAAUGCUGGGCUAAACCCAGUAGGGCAAAAGAUACGGGAAAGCUCGAGUAUGACAGAGGCAAGUGGAAUGACAGGUGUAGCGGUAAAAUGCGUAAAUAUAUGGAAGAACACCAGUGGCGAAGGCGGCUUGCUGGGUCGAUACUGACGUUGAGGCACGAAAGCGUGGGGAGCAAACAGGAUUAGAUACCCGUGUAGUC